AUUGAACGCUGGCGGCAGGACUAACACAUGCAAGUCGAGCGGAGCGGCGGACGGGUGAGUAAUGCCUAGGAAUCUGCCUGGUAGUGGGGGAUAACGUCCGGAAACGGGCGCUAAUACCGCAUAAUAUCAGAUGAGCCUAGGUCGGAUUAGCUAGUUGGUGGGGUAAAGGCCUAACAAGGCGACGAUCCGUAACUGGUCUGGGAGGAUGAUCAGUCAAACGGGAACUGAGAUACGGCCCAGACUCCUACGGGAGGCAGCAGUGGGGUAUAUUGCACAAUGGGCGAAAGCCUGAUGCAGCGACGCCGCGUGGGGGAUGAAGGCUUUCGGAUUGUAAAGCACUUUAAGUUGGGAGGCGUUACCAACAGAAUAAGCACCGGCUAACUUCGUGCCAGCAGCCGCGGUAAUUC
Molecule: ribosomal RNA, 407 nt
Filed under: uncultured bacterium
Lineage: Bacteria
Description: partial 16S ribosomal RNA
Rfam family: Bacterial small subunit ribosomal RNA
Source: RNAcentral